RNAcentral lists this long non-coding RNA (401 nucleotides) under Mustela putorius furo (domestic ferret). RNAcentral's name for it is "lncRNA (ENSMPUG00000030489.1)". The record is from RNAcentral. Lineage: Eukaryota; Metazoa; Chordata; Mammalia; Carnivora; Mustelidae.
GAAAUUUCUGGGUGUAUAUUUUUCUCUUUCAUGCAGUUACAGAAUGAGAUCUAGAAUGGUUCCAGUAAUCUAUAGCCAAAAGGAGACUGCGAAGGGAAGCCCUGCCUAACAGAGUCAAAGUGAAAUACAGUCACUUCUCUCCUAGGAGCCUACAACUGAAUACAUGAGGUUGGAAGAAAGACUGGAAUACUGGGAGCAAGAAGAAAAUAUUAAGUGAGGAAGGACACGUGCAUGGACGUCCUCUCAUGUCAGACCUUAAAAGCAAUGGCCCCAGUUUUCUCUGACCAGGUAAAAGAACAUUUCUUAAUCAGAAGUACACUACAGGAUAAAAGUGAUUUAAUGGUAGGUGAUUAUACUUUACUUUAAAUACCUUGGCAAAUGAUUGGAAGUAUAUUGUUCAU